This 396-nucleotide small RNA is filed under the name Arabidopsis thaliana (thale cress). Its description in RNAcentral is "ATSL054690". Lineage: Eukaryota; Viridiplantae; Streptophyta; Magnoliopsida; Brassicales; Brassicaceae. The record is from RNAcentral.
UUUUGUAUUUGUUAUAGAAUCCACAAAGAGUAAAUUUAAUAUAGAAUCCGAAAGAACACAUAUACAUAUAUGAGAUUGAUAUGUGGUCCAGUAUAGUUUUAUGACAAAAAUGUCGUGACAUAUAGGCCAUAUCCCUUAAAUCAAAAUUGCAUAUACUAAAAAGAAAAAAAACCCAGGCAUCGUGGUCUGGUGGUAAAGGAACCUCGACUGAGGCGCCCGCCACCCGGGUUCGAUUCCUGACCACCAGGGAAUUAACAUGCGGAUUUGCUUUGGCGCCUCAGACCACCAGUUCCAGGGGACCCUUAAGUAGAGGCUCAAAAAUCCCUGGUCGCGGGCUUCGGCCCAGUGGAUAGUCAGAUCACUGUGUGGUCAGGACACUAAAUUAUAAAUAAAAAA